AUGGACCUCGUGGGCAGGAACGUGCAUCAGCGCUGGUUCCUCCUCUUUCUGGUGGCAGCUCCUGGAUGCGUCCUGUCCCAGAUACAGCUGCAGGAGUCGGGACCAAGCCUGGUGACGCCCUCGCAGAUGCUGUCCCUCACCUGCUCGGUCUCUGGAUUCUCUCUAACCAGCAAUGGUGUAUACUGGGUCCGCCAGGUCCCUGGAAAGGGGCUGGAUUGGAUUGGUGCUAUAUGGGCUAGUGGAAUCACAAAGUAUAAUCCAAGUCUUCAGUCCCGAGUCAGCAUCUCCAGGGACACCUCCAAGAACCAAGUUUACCUAAAACUGAGCAACUCGGUAACUGAGGACACCGCCGUGUAUUACUGUGCA
Non-coding RNA from Sorex fumeus (smoky shrew), 366 nucleotides. The record is from the annotation of a RefSeq genome assembly. Lineage: Eukaryota; Metazoa; Chordata; Mammalia; Eulipotyphla; Soricidae.